AGUGAACGCUGGCGGUAGGCCUAACACAUGCAAGUCGAACGGCAGCACAGGAGAGCUUGCUCUCUGGGUGGCGAGUGGCGGACGGGUGAGGAAUACAUCGGAAUCUACUUUUUCGUGGGGGAUAACGUAGGGAAACUUACGCUAAUACCGCAUACGACCUACGGGUGAAAGCAGGGGACCUUCGGGCCUUGCGCGAUUGAAUGAGCCGAUGUCGGAUUAGCUAGUUGGCGGGGUAAAGGCCCACCAAGGCGACGAUCCGUCGCUGGUCUGAGAGGAUGAUCAGCCCCACUGGAACUCGGACACGGUCCAGACUCCUACGGGAGCCAGCAGUGGGGAAUAUUGGACAAUGGGCGCAAGCCUGAUCCAGCCAUACCGCGUGGGUGAAGAAGGCCUUCGGGUUGUAAAGCCCUUUUGUUGGGAAAGAAAUCCAGCUGGCUAAUACCCGGUUGGGAUGACGGUACCCAAAGAAUAAGCACCGGCUAACUUCGUGCCAGCCGCCGCAGUAA
This 506-nucleotide ribosomal RNA is filed under the name uncultured bacterium. RNAcentral's name for it is "partial 16S ribosomal RNA". It matches the Rfam family "Bacterial small subunit ribosomal RNA", at positions 29 to 523 of the family's 1533-position model. The record is from RNAcentral.